RNAcentral lists this ribosomal RNA (481 nucleotides) under Rhodococcus rhodochrous. RNAcentral's name for it is "bacterial SSU rRNA". It matches the Rfam family "Bacterial small subunit ribosomal RNA", at positions 1 to 496 of the family's 1533-position model. The record is from RNAcentral. Lineage: Bacteria; Bacillati; Actinomycetota; Actinomycetes; Mycobacteriales; Nocardiaceae.
NNNNUUUUUNANUGAUCCUGGCUCAGGACGAACGCUGGCGGCGUGCUUAACACAUGCAAGUCGAACGAUGAAGCCCAGCUUGCUGGGUGGAUUAGUGGCGAACGGGUGAGUAACACGUGGGUGAUCUGCCCUGCACUUCGGGAUAAGCCUGGGAAACUGGGUCUAAUACCGGAUAGGACCUUCUGCCGCAUGGUGGGGGGUGGAAAGGUUUUCCGGUGCAGGAUGGGCCCGCGGCCUAUCAGCUUGUUGGUGGGGUAACGGCCCACCAAGGCGACGACGGGUAGCCGGCCUGAGAGGGCGACCGGCCACACUGGGACUGAGACACGGCCCAGACUCCUACGGGAGGCAGCAGUGGGGAAUAUUGCACAAUGGGCGCAAGCCUGAUGCAGCGACGCCGCGUGAGGGAUGACGGCCUUCGGGUUGUAAACCUCUUUCAGUACCGACGAAGCGCAAGUGACGGUAGGUACAGAAGAAGCACCNC